This is a long non-coding RNA of Gambusia affinis (western mosquitofish), 777 nucleotides long. RefSeq lists it as uncharacterized. The transcript is spliced from 3 exons. NCBI's taxonomy places the organism in Eukaryota, Metazoa, Chordata, Actinopteri, Cyprinodontiformes, Poeciliidae. The record is from RefSeq and is a predicted model, not a curated record.
GAUGCUAGUCCGCUUCACCGCCCUCUGAGACAUCCUUACAUCUCUUUUUUUAACUGGUUCUUCAGCACUCUUUCUACACACUGUAUAUUUAAAUUCAGUAGGGGAAUCUGGAGUAAGUUGAAAAACCUCCUGUUGCUAGGAAACGGUAAAAAACCUUGAUCAUGUGACCAAAUAGCUAGGAGGAAGGAAAAGGAAUCAUUUGAUGAAGUUUGUAAAGGCUGCCAACACUGAGUUAAGGGUCUUCGUUCCACCCUGAGGGCGAAACUUAAGGACCAGACAAUCUGCCAUGACAUCAAGUGCAUUCCCUCUAUAGAAGGAAGAAAUGUGACCUUCACUCAAGACAGAACUAUUUUAAGAUGAUCCUCUUUCUCAGCUGCUGCAGCAUAAAGUCACUCCUCUCUCUAACACUGUUCCUACUUGUUUUCACGUCAUGAAUACGAUCUUUUUUUAUUUACAUUGAGUAAAACGUUAAUAAAAAAAACUUCAGGGAAAAACCAACACCAACAGAGAGGGGAGAAGAGAUUAAAGGAAAGAGUGAAGCAGGAAGUGAGAGACAGAGGGAUAGAAAUCACAUGCGGAGGCAGGAAUUCAUGUCUCGAAUGACACAAAGGAAUUCAUCACAACAUGGCUCCUCUAUUAACCCUUUAACAGCGUUUUUACCAGCGCUGCACUGACCAGCUCAGCAGAUGUGCAGUUCCACCAGAUGUUUGCUAAUUGCUGCUGGCUAGUCUGAAGGAGCCAUGUGGGGGGAGACGGCUGCUCUGCUGCAGGGAGGAA